UGGUUAACCUCUGUACAGACCAAGAAA
RNAcentral lists this non-coding RNA (27 nucleotides) under Rattus norvegicus (Norway rat). Lineage: Eukaryota; Metazoa; Chordata; Mammalia; Rodentia; Muridae. The record is from RNAcentral.